UGCUUUACAAAUAAAAUAAAAAUAAGUCGUGGUCAUUUAUUAACUUUAUGUUAAAUGUGAAAUCAUAGAAUAUCAUCCAUCACGAUUCAAACGUUAAAAAAAGCACUUAAUGCUAGAUGUUUUACUGCUUUAAAACUUACAAAGUCGGUGACUAAGACUUCGAUAAAAAUUUCCACGUAUGCAACGUAUAUUGAUGCGUAUAUAAUCCAUUCAGUGGCUCGAAUCAUUCAGUGUUUUUUAAGUUUUCAAAGCGAUACUUUGUAGUUCUUUAAAACUUACAACAAAAUGCAUUUAUUGUAUUCGUCAGCUAUCGUGAUAUGGACGCUAUUUACACUCCAAUCUAUAAGCCAGAUAGCGGUAACUUCGUGUGGCCCAUCACCGG
Molecule: long non-coding RNA, 382 nt
Organism: Cotesia glomerata
Lineage: Eukaryota; Metazoa; Arthropoda; Insecta; Hymenoptera; Braconidae
Exons: 2
Source: RefSeq, a predicted model, not a curated record